CGGCGUGCCUAAUACAUGCAAGUCGAGCGAGCGGAACUAACAGAUUUACUUCGGUAAUGACGUUAGGAAAGCGAGCGGCGGAUGGGUGAGUAACACGUGGGGAACCCUGCCCCAUAGUCUGGGGAUACCACUUGGAAAACAGGUGCUAAUACCGGAUAAGAAAGCAGAUCGCAUGAUCAGCUUUUAAAAAGGCGGCGUAAAGCUGUCGCUAUGGGAUGGCCCCGCGGUGCAUUAGCUAGUUGGUAAGGUAAAGGCUUACCAAGGCGAUGAUGCAUAGCCGAGUUGAGAGACUGAUCGGCCACAUUGGGACUGAGACACGGCCCAAACUCCUACGGGGGGCAGCAGUAGGGAAAUCUUCCACAAUGGACGCAAGUCUGAUGGAGCAACGCCGCGUGAGUGAAGAAGGGUUUCGGCUCGUAAAGCUCUGUUGUUGGUGAAGAAGGACAGGGGUAGUAACUGACCUUUGUUUGACGGUAAUCAAUUAGAAAGUCACGGCUAACUACGUGCCAGCAGCCGCGGGUAAU
This 524-nucleotide ribosomal RNA is filed under the name uncultured Lactobacillus sp. Its description in RNAcentral is "bacterial SSU rRNA". It matches the Rfam family "Bacterial small subunit ribosomal RNA", at positions 40 to 524 of the family's 1533-position model. The record is from RNAcentral. Lineage: Bacteria; Bacillati; Bacillota; Bacilli; Lactobacillales; Lactobacillaceae.